UAGCCCUCCAAAUAGGCAUAACUUUUAACUCAGUUAAGUUUCGAGUUGGUAAAAGAUUUUUUAAGGCCCCCCCUAUGGCAAUCGAAGCAGCCCUGACAAGAAAAACGAGAUAGUGUGCGGUUGAUCGGUCAUGCAAUCUGUCAAAUAUUCAAAAAAUAAAGUUUGUUUACAUUUUGAACCGAACGAUAGCUCUCACGAUGUACAACGGCGAAUGAUUAAAAAAAGGCUACAUCGGUGAUGAAAAUGUUGUGUGUAAUGUGUAAAAUAGACAGCCUUAAAUUUAUAAAUGGUGGUAGAAUCGACUUCGCACGCCUGAAAGCUGUUUAGGGUAAGUAAAACAAAGCUAAUAUUUGUAAUAUUAAAUCAAUUAAAGCGGUAUUUUCUAUGCAGCUGUUGUGCAACCGUGUUGAGCCGGCGAUAGUUAGAAAGAGGGAAGAAAGAAUGCCCGCAAUCAAACUAAACGAUGUUUGAUCAUGGAAAACAAGUUAAAAAGCAUACAAAGCUCGCUCGCCGUUGGACGCUUGGACAAUUACAUUAACAAUCAUUCGGUGAUCAGUUUGCGAAACGUCUUGCCGCACGCCUGGUACAGGCCCUUCUUGUCCGCGUCGGUAUCGAUCGUGGACUGAUCGUUCGGCAGCGUCAGCAUCAUCACCUUCAUCUGCGGGUAGUUGUGGUACGGCACAGUUCCGGUCGUCAUCUCGAUCGCGGUAAUGCCGAACGACUAGAAGCCGUAUCCGUGGUCCCGCUCCGUCUCCUCCAGCGCCAUCCAGCACGACGUGCCGAUAAACGUGUGGUACACCUUCUGCCGCGACAUGUCUCCAUCGGUGGCGAGCCACGCGCUCAUCCGCUAUAUUUAAGGAGCCGUCGUCGCCGGGCAGUAUGAUGGCCACCUUGAUGUCCACGUAAUGAGCAAUGCGAAUUGUGCUCUCAAUUGGCAAGCGCACAGCAAGAAACGUUACCGACAGUCUUUGUCGCCGUGAAAAUGCUUCUAAUGCACGGGUGAGUUGCAUUAUAACUACAAGCAUACGUUUUUUUUUUCCUUUCUUUAGUUUCAGCUAAUGCCAGACGAACGAUCGAAUGACUGUUGCUUCGGAAGGGAGGUCGCAUUACAGAUACCGACUUGGACAUGAUCCAGUCGGUCGGUUGCAGUUGCUCCAUGGUGCUUCGGAUAAGGCAACAACGGAGAAGCGCUCCGGACGCUCCGGAGAAGCUGAUCGAGAUCGGCGAAGCGGUGUAGUGUUGUGAUAUAGUGAUUGUGUGUACAUUUAAGGUGUAAAGGGUGAUUAAUGCUAGUAACGUUGUGUAAUGUUAUGCAGAACAAAAUGCAGCAUAAAUGGCGAUGAGCCAGCAUUGUUUAAAGGUGCCGGAUGUUAUACGUUAGAGCCGUUCUUUGUGGUGUGAUGUGUUAACAUAUUAAACCAGUAUUAGGAUUAGGAUAUAAUUAGGAUUUAAACCAGUGCCGUUGAAUAAAAUAGUGUACAACAGGUUAGAAAACAUUCGGUGUAUUUUGUUUUGUUUUUUUGAAGCUCUUUCGAUUACCUAUUACGGAAGCAAAUAUGUUUCACUAAUGUGCAAAAGGUAAGGAAUCAGUGAUCGCGUUGGUAGGUAAUUGCUCGUUUACGGUGUUUCUCCAUUUGUAUUUAUUGUUUCUCGCCCGCUGUGUUUGCUUCCCCAUUCCUCAUAAUGGUGCGUACGUUUCGUUAACAAUGUGCAUUAGAUGGUGAUGUUACAUGAUAAGUAAAUGUUGAGCAUGUUGGCGGGUUAAAAAAAAUAUUUUACUUGUCCUGCUCCGUUGGUUGUCUGGUUGUCUGGUUGUCUGGCUGGCUGGCUGGCUGGUUGGAUGGCAGAAUGGCUCACUGGCUGGUUAGUGCAGACUAUGAUCGGAUGCGCAUUUCCCUACGCCGUAGUGCCGGGUGCAUCAUACGUCGGUGUUGGGUUGCUGUUACUGGGCCGAGCGGAUGCGCGUGCACACGUGGGAAUAAACGACAUGCAACCGUGGUGAUAUCACAGAAACUAUAUAUUUUGUUCUAUUUCAUCACAAAAAAAUUCUUGCCAUUAAUUUUUCUUUUUAGGUAUUUUAUAUUGCAUCGGUACGAUUAUCGUGUUCAAAGGCUUUAUCGAGAAAUGCCAAUACAUAAAUGGGUUAGUCCGUUUAUAUCGGUUUCUCAAACCCCUGCAAGCAAUGGUCAAUCAUUUCAGUCUUAAACUUUUGACGAACGAAUGCCUGGUCGCUAGCUGUAGCUUCCCAUCGAUGUAGGCACCCGAUCUUCGAGAUUUUACUUCACCUGAUCUAGCCAUCGAACUCGCUGUGCUUCCUUGCUUCUAGUACCGAACUGAGAGCCGCUCGAACACCUAGCUGCUGGGGCACGAGGAUGCCUUCUUCACAACAUGCUCCAGCCAUCGCAAACAGCCAUGUCCGGUGCGCCAUACGGCUUCAGUAAGCUCGUGGAUGAUCAUUCGCAUCCACACCCCAUGCUCGAAUUCACCGCCAAAGAUGAUCCGGAGGAUGCGUCGGCCAUCGUGUUUCGCCGCUGUCCUUUGCAUGCUGUAAAGAAACAUACCUAUUCCUCGUCGGCCAAUGGUGCAGCACGAGCGCAACGUGAUACAUCGUGACAUCAUCCGGAAAACUUGCAGCUGGGGCACGGUGGUGAUCUGAAGAUAGCUGAUUUCGGUUGGUCCGUGUACGAGCCGACCUUGUUCCGGUACGACGCGGUGCGUUUCGCACGACUAUUUAUCGCCCGAGAUGGUACAUGGUCAGCCGCACACAAAAACUGUCGAUCUAUGGAAUUUGAGCGUGCUGGCGUACAAGCUGCUGUGCGGUAAGGCCCCGUUUUUGGCGACCACGUAUGAAGAAUCGUACCGUAAAAUUAUGAAGCUGCAGUUUAAGAUGCCGCCAGAUGUAACGAAGCCGGCGGUCCAUCUGAUCUCGCGACUGUUCGUUAAGGAUCUGGCCAGCCGUAUGCCGCUGAAACAUGUUGCGACCAUCCCUGGAUUCUGCUGCAUGUGCACAAAAAGUAAAUAGGUACUGGUGCUACCAUGUACCAUUUAUCGUUAUGUUCUAACUAAGUAUGUUUAUAAGAUACCUGUACCUUUUAGUUUUUUAAACCCUAUCUCUUAUAAGAAGUAGUGGUAUUUGAAUUUAAUAUGAACAAGGCAAGUGUAAUGAUAAGUAAUGAUAAUUGUUAUUUGUGUGUUCACUCAAUUGUUAUUAUACUUUCUUCAUGUUCAACAUCUAUUAUUAUUUCAAUUAUUAACAAUAAAAUAUGGCAAAAUAUUUUUUAAGCUAUAGAUCGUCUUUGUAUUGAAUGAGUGCAAUUGAUGGGUGAAUGAAUGCAAACAUUAUGAUGAUCAAGACCGUGACCAGCCUCUCGGGGUGCCUUUGGUGUCUCAGUUCUGUAUAGAGGAGAGCGUAGAAGGGUAUGGCUAUAUUCUUUUCGGCGCUGCCAUGCACCUUUCGGUGCAACGAUAAGAUAGAGUUAAUGUUUUUUUGCACCACUGAAGCACACACCAACCAGCACACACCAACCAGUGAUUGACUAUCCGGUUAGGUGAUACGAAUAAGUCUUGUAAGCAUUUAUACAUAACGUCAGCAUGACCACGUUUGUCGGCUGUAGCGGAAAUAAAGCAUAACAAUUAUUUAUUUGUUACGAUAUAAAUAGGAAGAAAGUGCAACGCUGUGCGGUCCCGUGAUACAGUCAUCAAUUCGUACGACCUAAUAACAUGCCUGUCAUGUGUUCAAAACUCAUACGGUCCGUCCCCCCGUAGCAAGGAUCAAUUAUCCUCAACUAAACUAAACUAAACUAAACUAUCCGGCUGCGUGGUACCAAAUCAGUUUCGAAAGCCUGUACAGGUCGACAUGUUCGCAUCGUUAAGCCAAAAAGAAAGAAAGUGCUGCGUUGUCGUGAUCGAUACGGUAAAAGUGCUUCCGUCUUAACAGAAGGUGCUCUAUCAUCUACCAAAAUUGUUGUGUGAGAAAUGGAACUAGCUUGCAAAAAGGUUUGGUCAGUCUGAUUCAUG
This is a long non-coding RNA of Anopheles coluzzii, 4017 nucleotides long. RefSeq lists it as uncharacterized. The transcript is spliced from 3 exons. The record is from RefSeq and is a predicted model, not a curated record. Lineage: Eukaryota; Metazoa; Arthropoda; Insecta; Diptera; Culicidae.